UAGGACCUCACUUCAAUUACAUCCAUAAUGGACCUACUUUCAAAUAUGAUCACAUUCUGAGGGUCUCCGUUGCUCAUCCCGCGGGUUGGGACAAACUGGCGCCCAACGUGAGAGCUCAAGUACGAGGGACACAGUGAGGGACGCCGUCGAGGUCAGCUGGCACGGAAGGAUUAAGAAACCCAGAGGAAAGCAUCAUGGGAACCUGCCAAGGACUCGCACUCUGAAACAUGUGGAGCUUAAUAUUGAUAUCCCUGUUAAUCACUCUCAUACCUACGACUGACAGCAGAUUUGGAUCACAAUAUUAUGUAAGAUCAACUUGACUCCCUAGCCGAAGUAGUCCUGCAAAACUGACGAGGCCUAGAUCUGCUCACCGCCCAGAAAGGAGGAGUGUGCCUUAGAUAAAAAAAUGCUGCUUUUAUGCUAACGGUUCUGAUGUUGUCAGAGAUAAGAUAAAAGCCCUGCAAAAAGACCUGGCAAAAAAGAAGAAAAGCACUCUUCGAUAAUCCAUUGUGGGGAGGGUUGAAUGGGUUCCUCCCCUAUAUCCUCCCCCUCCUUGGCCCUUUUGUCAUUUUCCUCCUACUCCUCACUGUUGGACCUCUUAUAUUCAACAAGGUCAUGGCUUUUGUCAAACAACAGAUUGACUCCAUAAAAAUGCAGCCCCUACAGGUCCAUUAUCAUAAGCUGGAAAUGGCUGACAGGGAAAUGGAGUUGGAUCAAGGCUACGGUGGAUGUUUGAUAAGCACCACCAACCAUUUCUGACAUCGCCUGAUGAACUGGACCAGUUAGCCAAUGACGGGCAACCUGAGAGCCUAGCAGUAAGAUGCUCCUGCCUAAGACAGGGGACCGGGAUAUGAAUCCCGCUCACCCUAUGACGGGGUGCUGCUGCAUCAGAAGUAUUAUGGAUGAGGAGCGACGUGGUCUGACUACACCCAGUGCAUCAAGGGGCUUUUAUCUCCCAAGCAUUGAGGACAUACAGCAAUAAAAAUCACUCCAUGUUCCGAGAACCUGGGCAGAGCCUGAAGCAUUCCAUGAUCUCUGCCCUGCAAGGCUUUUCUCCUCCUUGCCAGCCCCCAUCUGCAAAUACCCUCCCAGAUCUUGUGAGCAGAGAUUGCCUCCCUUCUCAGAGAUCUUUGCACAAGCCUUCUUUAUGAGACCCUCAUGCAGUCUCCAUGUUGAGAAGGCAUUCAUGGGACCAGAGCAGUAUUCCUUGCUCUGCAACCACCCUGCAGUGUUCCCCAAUGUUACUGCACUCUCAGAUGGUCUUUACCUUAGGCCUCCUAUUGCUGCUUGAUUUCUAAUUAACUGCACCAAUAAUAUAAUUUAGUUUGGUGUAUAAACUUCAGUGUACUCUGAGCCAAGCAAACUUACAAUUAUUUAGCUAGAAUUAACAUAGUUCUCCCGUGGGCCAUCUUGACCCACAUCUGUCUCCAUGAGUUCAAUUAUUUUAAUGUUUAGUUAACACAAAUAAGUGAGAAUAUGUGAGGUUUGUCUUUCUGUGUCUGUCUUAUUUCACUUAACAUAAUGACCUCCAGUUCCAUCCAUGUUGUUGCAAAUGACAGGAUCUUAUUCUUUCUUUAUGACUGAAUAGUUCUCCAUUGUGUAUAUGUACCACACUCUGUUUAUCUAUUCAUCUGUUGAUAGACACUUAGGUUGCUUGCAAAUCUUGGCUAUUGAGAAUAGUGCUGCAACAAACAUGAGAGUGCAGGUAUCUCUUUAAUGUACUGAUUUCUUUUCAUUUUGGUACAUACCUAGGAGUGUGAUUGCUGGAUCAUAUGAAUUACCAUUAGCUAUUAGUAUUGUAUUUUUCCAAUGUUGAAGUGUGUGAUCAAUAGGAAUAAACUACACAGAAGUCUGACGAAUGGAUCAGAGAGCAUAAUGGAGUCAAGCAAAUAUAUGUGGCUAACUUAAA
Molecule: long non-coding RNA, 1909 nt
Organism: Callithrix jacchus (white-tufted-ear marmoset)
Lineage: Eukaryota; Metazoa; Chordata; Mammalia; Primates; Cebidae
Source: Ensembl